AAUAGAUACCCCGGUAGUCCACGCCGUAAACGAUGAGUGCUAAGUGUUAGAGGGUUUCCGCCCUUUAGUGCUGCAGCUAACGCAUUAAGCACUCCGCCUGGGGUGUACGGCCGCAAGGCUGAAACUCAAAGGAAUUGACGGGGGCCCGCACAAGCGGUGGAGCAUGUGGUUUAAUUCGAAGCAAUGCGAAGAACCUUACCAGGUCUUGACAUCCUCUGACCUCCCUGGAGACAGGGCCUUCCCCUUCGGGGGACAGAGUGACAGGUGGCGCAUGGUUGUCGUCAGCUCGUGUCGUGAGAUGUUGGGUUAAGUCCCGCAACGAGCGCAACCCUUGACCUUAGUUGCCAGCAUUGAGUUGGGCACUCUAAGGUGACUGCCGGUGACAAACCGGAGGAAGGUGGGGAUGACGUCAAAUCAUCAUGCCCCUUAUGACCUGGGCUACACACGUGCUACAAUGGAUGGUACAAAGGGUCUGCGAGACCGCGAGGUUAAGCCAAUCCCGAGAAAACCCAUUCCCGAGUUCGGAUUGCAGGCUGCAACCCG
Molecule: ribosomal RNA, 543 nt
Filed under: uncultured bacterium
Lineage: Bacteria
Description: bacterial SSU rRNA
Rfam family: Bacterial small subunit ribosomal RNA
Source: RNAcentral